RNAcentral lists this ribosomal RNA (468 nucleotides) under uncultured bacterium. Its description in RNAcentral is "partial 16S ribosomal RNA". It matches the Rfam family "Bacterial small subunit ribosomal RNA", at positions 28 to 507 of the family's 1533-position model. The record is from RNAcentral.
GACGAACGCUGGCGGCGUGCUUAACACAUGCAAGUCGAACGGAAGGGCCCUGCUUUUGCGGGGUGCUCGAGUGGCGAAGGGGUGAGUAACACGUGAGUAACCUGCCCUUGACUUUGGGAUAACUUCAGGAAACUGGGGCUAAUACCGGAUAGGAGCUCCUGCUGCAUGGUGGGGGUUGGAAAGUUUCGGCGGUUGGGGAUGGACUCGCGGCUUACCAGCUUGUUGGGGGGGUAGUGGCUUACCAAGGCUUUGACGGAUAGCCGGCCUGGGAGGGGGGCCGGGGACAAUGCUCCUGAGGUACGGCCCAGACUGGAACGUGAGGCAGCAGGGGAAAGUCUUACACAAUGGGGGGACGCCUGUUACGACAACGCUGGGAGCGGGAUGACCGCCUUCGGGUUAUAAACCGCUUUCGCCUGUGACGAAGCGUGAGUGACGGUACUGAGUAAAGAAGCACCGGCUAACUACGUG